AGAAGGCCCGAGGGAAACCCGGGCUUCCUCUCCCUCCAGCAGUCUACUGGCAGAUGAUAGUUUUCCCCCUCUACACAAACGAAGACGAGAGAGAUGGAGGUUUUGAGGUCAUUACGGGUAGCCGGAUUGAAUGAGUGUAUCCUCUUCUGCUGGUGAGGUCUUCUAUUGAUGGUGGUGGCUGAUAUCAACGCCAACCUCCUGGAGAGUUCCUCGUGUGUCACACAGUCUACAUUAUGGUGAGCAUUCUUAUGAACAUUAUGGUGAACAUUAUGGUGAGCAUUCUUUGGUCCGCCACCGUUGCCAAGUUCCCCGUUGCCGAGUUCACCAUUGCCUUCCUCCAGUGCAAUGAUUUUCCCAAGCGUCAUAUUUCGGAAGCCGAUGGUUUUUCUGAUUUAUCAGCCUCAUAAUGGCUUCCUUGAGUUUUCA
Molecule: long non-coding RNA, 426 nt
Organism: Esox lucius (northern pike)
Lineage: Eukaryota; Metazoa; Chordata; Actinopteri; Esociformes; Esocidae
Exons: 3
Source: RefSeq, a predicted model, not a curated record